UUAAGUUCAGCGGGUAUCCCUACCUGAUCCGAGGUCAACCUGAAAAAAAUUGGGGGUUGCUGGCGAGCACACACCCGGACCUCCAGAGCGAGAAGAAUUACUACGCUCGGGGUGACAACGAGCCCGCCACUGUUUCAGGGCCUGCGGCAGCCGCAGGGCCCCAACACAAGCCUAGGGCUUGAUGGUUGAAAUGACGCUCG
Molecule: unclassified non-coding RNA, 200 nt
Filed under: Malbranchea sp.
Lineage: Eukaryota; Fungi; Ascomycota; Eurotiomycetes; Onygenales; Malbrancheaceae
Description: partial internal transcribed spacer 2
Source: RNAcentral